Molecule: ribosomal RNA, 430 nt
Filed under: uncultured archaeon
Lineage: Archaea
Description: bacterial SSU rRNA
Rfam family: Archaeal small subunit ribosomal RNA
Source: RNAcentral
UACCAGCUCUCCGAGUGGUAGGGAUGAUUAUUGGGCUUAAAGCGUCCGUAGCCGGCUUAGCAAGUCUCCUGUUAAAUUCAGCGACCUAAUCGUUGAGCCGUGGGAGAUACUAUUAGGCUAGGAGGCGGGAGAGGUCAACGGUACUUCCGGGGUAGGGGUGAAAUCCUAUAAUCCCGGGAGGACCACCAGUGGCGAAGGCUGUUGACUAGAACGCGCUCGACGGUGAGGGACGAAAGCUGGGGGAGCGAACCGGAUUAGAUACCCGGGUAGUCCCAGCUGUAAACGAUGCGAGCUAGGUGUUGGGGUGGCUACGUGCCACUUCAGUGCCGCAGGGAAGCCAUUAAGCUCGCCGCCUGGGGAGUACGGCCGCAAGGCUAGAAACUUAAAGGAAUUGGCGGGGGAGCACCACAAGGCGUGAAGCUUGCGGUUC